CAGCCUUUCAGUAAAGAGAGGCUGUAAGAAGGGGAGAGACUCUUUUGCAGGGUCUGCUAUGACAGGACAAGGGGAAAUGGUUUCAAACUGAAAGAGGGGAGAUUAAGGCAGGAUAUAAGACUAAAUAUAAGUUUUAUAGAAUAGCUAGAAGUUUGCUGUAGUAAGGACAGUGAAGCACUGAAACAGCUUGCCCAGAGAGGUGGUGGAUGCCCUGUUCCUGGAGACAUUCAAGGUUAGGCUGGACCAGGCCCUGAGCACCCUGAUAUAGUUGUAUAUGUCCCUCUUUAUUGCAGGGGAGUUGGACUAGCUGGCCUUUAAAGGUCCCAUCAAACUCUAAGGAUUCUAUGAUUCUAUGUGUUUUCUCAGAGCAGGCUGCUCCUGCAGAUGCAUUUGGAGAGCAGAAUAGGUUUCCAGCUAUAGAAUGCAAUCGGGAACAGUCAGCAAUAUGGCAGUUCUGAGCUUACAAAGUGCCUUACCAGCAAGGCUUUUCACUACUCUGAGCCACUCCAGCAGAAAAUAAGGUAGUUUUUCCACCUCAUCUGUGCUCUCCUCAUUUCCUUUGGGAAGUCAGGUUUCCAUAGGAAACCAUGCUGUUGGAAGCUGAUUCUUCCAGAGGUCUAACACUAGCCUCUGUAAGUCAGGAAGGCAGCUUAGCAGGCCCACUGGGAAGUAGCAGAUGGAUAGGAAAAUGACAUGCUUUCCAAAAGUAUUUAAAUAUCAACUCUCUUUUGUUACAGCUGUGUAAGAGCCAUAUAAAAUCAAGUAACAUGUAGGAGAGAAAAGGGGUCAUGAAGGAGGAGUUUGAGCAAAAAGUAAUGCUAAAAAAGAAAAAAAAAUCCAUUGCAAAUGGUAAUGUAAAUAAGGUAAAACUUGAAAACUAUGAAGCAAUACUGCAGAUAGUCAUGUCUGAAGGAAUACCUAGAGGGUUCUUUUUGGUGGUGAUCUUCACUCCUGGAUCUGAAUUUUUCUGGACUGUCUCCCUUACCACUUCUGCAGGACACAAUUGCAACAGAAUUUUCCUUGAAUCAACGGAGGACUAUUACUUGAUGAGAUCAUUGUUUUCAGGUAAAUACUUUCCUAUUGUAUAAAUCAUCAUCUUGCAGGUAAUCUGAAGCAGAUAUGCUGCUUGUACAUAAUAAUGAGCUGGUUUCCCCAAUUACCUGUUCUUAUAUCUACUGUGCUGAGGAAUUUGGUCACUUUGAGUAAUCUCCACGCUGCUCAUUACUAACUUGUCUGAAUACAAAUAUAUUUCUAACUGCCAGUGGGUCUUGAGAUAGAUUCAAGACAGGACUAUCAUCAUCUUAGACUGUCAAGGCAAUAGGAUAAGUUAUAAUACUUGUAGACCGAUACAAAGAUGAAACAGGGUAAGUGUUAAGAUAGACAUUUGAGUAAUAAUAUGCUCACAUACAGAUUUCCCCAGGAAGGAAAUACUGUCAACACAGUCAGUGUCUGAGUUUAUCCUCUCAGUGGAAAAGGUGGGUGAAAAACACUUAUUACUUCCUAUGUGCAUAAUUUAAACCUGUGAAACAUACUGCAGAAAUGUAAGGAGCCAUGAAUUUAGACACCGUUUUCAGCUAAAAUAAAGGUUAAAGUUUGUCUGUAGUGUAAGCCUGAGGUUGCAAAUACCCUCAGAAAAUGUUGAGUUUUGUGUGCAAAAGAGUAUGGUAGUGCAAGUCAGGCUGAAGGAGACAAAGUACAAAUUCAGAUAUUUCUAUCAGUAUUUACCUAAAAAUUAAAAAAUGAAACAAUAUUUUCCAAAGUACAGGCACACAGGCAGCAGGCUUGAAAAUUGCAGCAAUUCUCGGUUCUUUGCUUGUUCCAUUAUAUUUAUCAUAUGCUUAGUGCUUUAUGGGACUGGCAGCACAAAAUUUCUGAUUAGAAGUUUGUUCACUGUAGUUCAUCACAAAGUGCCUGUGUUCUUUAUGCUUGGUUGAACCACAAAGAUUCUUGCAGCAACAUUGUGAACAACUGGAUCCCAUAAUAUUUCAUGCAACAAAACUAUUGAACAGAAGGCAUGAUUUAGGUGCUAAAGUAUUUUAUGGCACAUAUUCUUAUGUGAUAUGGCUUAGAUAAGUUCAGAACUCUAUUCAGAACAUCCAGUCUUAGAAUAAGGGUUGAUAAGUUAUUUUGACAAAAAUCUGUUUACCUUCCAAAAAUGCAUACAUGCAGGACAAUCAGUGCAAACAAUGGACAGAGAAGAUAGUGAGUAAGAGAUUAAUUCAGAGAUCCUCAGUCAAAGAAAUAGUUCCACAUACUUUUUUAUUUUGUUUUGAGGAUAGGUAUGAUCCUACAAAGAAAUUUGCCACAAUCUUUUGAUAUUUAUGCAAAGGAGAACAGUUGACAGUAGAUAACAAUUUGAAUGCAGGCCUAAAUCAGGGGACAAUAAAACAUCACAGUAUAAGGAAGGCAUAGGUAUGCCAGCGUUAGCAAUGUCUAAAACCUACUCCGAAUUUGUGGUCACAGCACAAGGGAUAAAAUAGCAAUGUAGAAUUAGUAUGAUUUAAGAAAAUCGUAUAUGUGUCUUGACCUGCAGCUGACACCAGUUUAAAUUAUGCUGAAGAAUCAACUCUGACUCCUCAAUGCUACCAAAAUACUUUCUCCUGCAAACAAUGGAAUUAUCUCCUCCCACACAUACCAAGAUUCACUGGAAGUUCAAUGUAACUCAGCACAUGAAAGUAUUUGGGCAACAUUCAUUUCAUAUUUGUAAGUUGAAGUAAUAACAAGGAAAGGAGCUCUCUUGGGGACGGAUACGAAAUGUUCUGUGCUACCAAGAAAUGGAAAGAGGAAACUUGUAGAUGAUAAAGAUAAAAGUGCAAGAUGUACUGAAUGUCCUAAAGGGAAAGUAUACCCUGCAAAGCCCUCUGCUCGGCCAAUGUCUGUUGUCUGUUCUUUCUCUGGAGCUUUACUCACUAGAGAGCAUUACUCACUUAUAAAGUGAUUUAAGUGCAGGCCUCUUUGUCUUGUGGGUUUAUACAUUGGCUUUAGUCCUGUGUGCUUCUUAAUUUAAAUGCUAACUGAGAUCACAAAUGUCAUUGGGAGGUUUGUUCCCAAACAACCCUCUUGCCACUCAAGCCGCUUUGUAGCCUGAACUUUCCAGACAGGAGGUGUCUCUGGCCUUAUGAACACAAGAAUGUAAACCUGGAGAGAAGCCCCUCCAAGGUAAGAUAGUGCUUGUAAUUGUUUUGCUCUUCUACUUUUCUUGUCAUCAAGGCAUCAUGUCUUUCUAAAACAUAUGCUACAACCACAGAGGAAACAUCAUCAUCUUAGUGAAACAUCUGUGGGAAAAAAGCUUACGUGAGAUGUUGUACAUAGGGAUAGACUAGAUCUUACCAUGUUUACUUUCUGACUUCAGAACAAGUGGACAUUCAACAAUGGUAAGAAGCCCAAAUUUAUAUUGUAUUUGAAUUUCAUAGAAUAUUCACAGAAGAUGUGUCUGUAUAAUUACUAAUAUUCUCCUAGUAACUGUAAUUUUAAUAAUAAUGCUUGUGAUCAUUGGAAAAAAAAAGGAAAAAGUAAAUGCUCAUCCAGAACAUUCUGUUAAGCAUGUGGAUGAGUCAUUGAAAGAAAAAAGAAAAAAAAAUUGAGCUUUUUAUUUUUUUUUUUAAUGAAUUACUCACUCAUGGAUCUAGACACAUCUAGCAGAUGUCAGAAUGUGUGAUGUUCGUGUCAUCACAAGUGGCAAGUUAAAGCACAAUAACAUUUUUUUUCUCUCCUCUGCAUUCUGUGACGGGAUACUUGCCAUUACUAAGAUGUAGGAACUGUCAGAUUACAUUUCUCCCAGUCUUCAGAGACACUGCCACAUCAUAUACUCGUUUGAAAUCAGCAAUGUUCAGUUCAUUCUCUAUCUCAUUUUCCACAGAACUUUACCCUUUUACAAAAUUACUAAUGUGCUGCUUCACACACUGGCGUUUUUGCGAAGCUUUGCACUGGAGGAGGCACUCAAAGCAAAAGUCCUAACUCUAAGAUACUAUUUAUCAGCCACUAUGUUUUUCUGCUAAAAACAAAAAAGACACCCAGUUUAGUCAUCCAUAAGUCAGCCUAGAAAUCAUGAAAACUUUUCUUUCUCUCUCACCCACAUUUGAUAAAUUUACAACUGACUUUUCUGUUGACAACAGGAGAGAAAGAGGGAAGAGCAUCCCUUCAACUGUUAGCUGUUUUGGUGCAGAGAAUUGUUUGAAUCCAACUGCUGCAGGCUGAGAGCAGUGAAGCAAUAAUACAGCAGGUUUAGCUCCCAACUGUCCCUAAUUUUUUCAUUAACAAUCUUCAUAGUUUGUCCUCUGUCUAGAGAAUUCCCUUCAUUAAGUAUGCAGAUUUGGAAAGAAUGAAAAAUGCUUGGUUUUAAAAGCAAUGGCUGGAUAUUUCAUCAUAUAUUCCAGCUCCUUCUCUCAUUUUCACUCGUAGCACCUUGCUUAUAUGUUCUCUUUUGUUUUUACCUAUAUUUCUGCUUUUUGCCACAGAUGUUUUGUUGGGUUAUUUUUCCUGUCACUUGCAUGUUGUUUUAUUUCAAAUCCCAAUUUUCUGUUGUGAAAGGUUUGUAGAUGAAAAAAAAAGGAGAGACUAAGUUGCAGAGUGUAUUGACUUCUCUAGAUUUACAUUUCCAUCAACAUUCAUAGUAGUCUAAUUAAUUUGUGGACCUUGCAAGCUUUCUCCUUCCCAAAAAAAAAAAAAAAAAAAAAAAAAGUGUAUGUAGGCCAACUUAGGGUAGUUAAGAAUCACAAUUCAAGUUAGAAAUAAUAACAAUUCAAGAAAGAAAACAAUCACCAUUUUUGGUCUCUUUCUUUUCUGUAAGAGGUCAGAGCCAACACUUCCACUGAGUUCAAGAGGGAGACUUCUCUGCCUUUAUGGUCAAGUAAACACAGUUAAAAUACAUAAGCCAGACAUAUACAGACAAAAUACAUGGUCUGUUUCUAAGGCCAAAUUUGGUAACCAAUCACAAUGAAUUCACUGUUUCUAAAUGAGGGCAGAAGUUGUCCCUACAAGACAUUUUCUUUAUUUAUGAUUUUAGUAAGCUUUGUUGAGUUUAUCAAGGCCUUCCUUUUUUUUAGUUGGUUGGGUUUUUUUUUUGUUUGUUUCGUUUUUUGUUUUGUGCGCACAGACUAUCUCAUACGGUGGAUUAUUAUUCCUUGUCUCCGAGUAUAUGACAGUUUUGUAGCACACAAGAAAAAACAAUGUUAUGAAUACUUAUGUGCGGUAUCUUUCUUCAAGAUGAUGCUACUGUCUAUGCAAAGAUUGCAAUUUUGAGAUGAAAGAAAGGACACAUUCGUAAAUGGUAGCACAGUCCUGAAAUUUAUACUAUGGAUUUCAGCUUUUCAGUUUAGUUAGAAAAAUCUUCAGGCUUUCAAGGCAUCCUCUGCAGUGAUCCAGAGAUAAGCUAAACCUGAACAUUUUUUCAUGAAAAAUGAAAGAACACGUUGUUGCUAAUACACUAUUAGCUGAAGUUUUCCAAGGGAUAGGAUUGAAGCUCUGCUCCUUUCAAGAGACAGUCUGACAGCAGCCACACUAGAGCCAACUGUACAGUCACUCUCCAGUGCAGCCAACAAACAAGCUGAGGGAAGACAGCUAAGGGAUCAGACCCAGGUCUCGCCAUAGACGUAGCUGUUGGAAACAUUAUAUUCUGAAACAAAACUGAAAUAAAUUAUCAGCAGAAGUGUGGGACUGACUACACCCGGAAUGACUAAUAUUUUAAUGUUGAAGGAAAUUUCCCAGACUGCACUUUUAGAGACCACUGCUUAUGACUGAUAAUAUCAAGGACAGAAAGUGCAGGAAAGUAGUCAAGGAAUUGCUCACAGGAGGCUAAAUCUGAACACCUUCUUCCUCCUUGUUUUUGUGAUACUUGCUGAGAAGAUGCUGAUGUUUUCAAGGUCAAAGUUCUCCAAAGAAGGUUAUUCCAUUCUCUUGGUGAAUUCUCCAUGACCACAGACUCUCCACUCUGUGUAGGGGACAUUUUUUGAGGUACAGAGGAGAGUUAGAUGCCCAAUUCCCAUUAUUUCUCAAGGCAAUUACAUGCUUAACUGCCCUCUGUGCCUUUUAUAACCUUCCUUUUAGGAGUCAGAUGUCCAUGAUUACAUAGAUUAUCUACAAGUUUCACAACAGCAGUACUUUGAGGUACUUUAAAAUGCUAUUGGAAGGUUUGACAACAUACAUAAAAUGUAGAGUAAUGAUCAUAGAGUCUAUGGAUUGUUUGUUUUAAGAAGCUGAGAUUUUAAUGCAAAAAUAGGAUACAUUUUUAAGGAAACAUACCCUCAGCCUAAAAUACAUAUAAUUAUGGUUUAUUCUGUUGCUCCAGUGGAUUAAAACAUUCAUUAUACGAGCCACAGAUAAGAUAUAAUCUGGGAGGCUGAUGACUUUUGCAACAUCACAGAAGAUUAAAGGGGAGAUUUUGUUGUAAACUAGUUGAGUUUGUAGAAAAAAACUAUGUCUACUAUGUGGUAAAAUGAUUGCUGUCACUUUCAGCUCUGGCUUUUCUAUUCCAUUUUUCAUAGUCUAGCUGGCUGUAAAUCUUCAAAAUUGCAUAAUGCCAAUUAAGAAAAUAAAGAGCAAAUUGAGAUACCAGUACUCAUAGAGGAAUGUUGCUGGCUGAGGCCCCAGAUAUUUUUUGUGUCUCCAGUGAUUUGCCUGUAACUGUUCCAGGAAGUUUGGGAAAAGCUUUGCAUUGACAUCAUGCUAUAAAUGCUGGAAAAAGCUUUAUCCUGGGAAAAAUUUGAGUCCCAGUUCAGUGUCCUGGGUAACCUAUCCUACGACUUCUAUGGAUAUUCUCAAGGUUAAUGAAUUCAGCAGAAAUCUAACCCAUCUCUUUCUAUGCUUUCAAAGCUGUUUUAUGGAAGAAAAAGUUAACAAAUUUUUUAUAUCUGCAUUAUUUUCUCCUGAUUUUACUUUUCCCAAAAUCUUUUGUUUUUUGUCUUUUCAAGUGCAGCUGCUCCUAUGAACCACAUAAUAGGAAAGUAUGUUAUACUAUUAUACUUCAUUUAAAAAAAAUACUUUAACAGUAAUUUAUUCUCACUAACAAAAGAAACAGAUGAAGGAUGGCUCGCCUUUUCUUAAAACAUGGUCUUCAGGAUUGUUUGCUUCUUUUUAUAAAUUAAAAGCAGUAGACAUAAUGACAGUAGGCAUAGAUCAAACUAAUUCCUGGAAAAAAAUAAAACAUCAGAAGGGCCAUUUAGAUUCAGUUCAUAAAGAUAGCCACUGUGGAAAGUUAAAUCACUGACAAGUGAGCUUCUGAGGAGGAGGGAAAGCAUCCAGUGACUGUUAGGAUCAGUACUUAAUCUCUUAGUUGAAAAUUCAAUAGAGUUACUAUUUAGAGGGGUUUUAGUUUUCCAGGAAUUAUUGUUACUUCCACCACUUGUCAGUGAAUGGUUGGGUUUUCUGAACCAAACUGUGUGACUCAGAAUACUUGUGAUUACAUCUCUGUGGAAGUAUCAAGGACCAAGAAGAUGUGCUGUUCUUGCGGCGUCUGUCUCUCACACUGAUUGAGAGAAAAGCCAGUUGACUAGUUUGAUCUAGAAGCCCUAUUUUUAGAUGAACUGAUUUAGGCAAGAAAAACCUAACUAAAUAAAUUCCAAUUACUGUAUUGCUGUUCAUUUUCAAGUUAAAUCUUUUAGUAUGAAAGAUCUGCAAAAUAAUUUUGUGAGAAGUAACAAUCCUUUUCUUGUAAUAGUGGUUGGGAAAAAAAACAGGAAAUAGAACAACCUUGCAAGUUCAUAAGAAAUGAAUUUCUUUUGCAGUUAUUGCUAAAUGUGCCAUUUUUUUCUGACUUUUUAUUCUUUGUGUACAUUUUUUCAUAAAUAUGUUGUACGGGAAAAAAUUGUUUUAAUAACCUCUCACAUUUGGCAAACUGAAACCCCGAUGUCUCAUUUCACUUUUCUGAUAUUUCACAGCCAAGGAUUAGCAACAUUUUAGAAACAAUGCUAAGACUGUGUGUACUUGUUGUUUUUAAUAAAACUGUCAAGUGCUAAACCCUGUGAGUGCAUAGGUAUAUUUAUAGAUUAUUUCUCUCCAAAUGAAUACGAAGAAUUAUUUUUAAAACCACAUUCCCAAAUGUAAAGCUAGCAAAACAAAGCAAUAUUUCACUAUAAAAAAAUAUGCAAAAACUAAUACAUGUUUUGGACAGACAGAGAAAGACAUGUUUCAGUAUUCUGAAAAUAAUCUGAUUCUAAAUAAGACACACAAUAAAAAAAGAACUGUUAGAAACUAAUUUCUUUCCUUUUGCCUUCAGUGUUUUUUUUACUUUAUUCAAUACAGAUUAGUCAAUUAUAAUCUAGUACUACCAUUUCAGAGUAUAACAGCUAUUAUUGGACUUCAAAAAUAAAGGUAAAUGUUAUUUAUCUGCUUAUGAUACAGGUAAUGAAUCUCAAGUAUAGGCAGAUUACACCCAAGUUCAAAUACUUACAUUUAGUCACAUUUUUAGUUUUUAGUCACUUAUUGGAUUCAGAAACCCAAGUCAACUAAACUGUCUGUCUUCACAUAAUCAUUACCUUCCACAUUUACUAAAUCUGAAAGAUCUAUCUGUACCACUAUCCUUUGUAGACAGUGAACAAACCCAUCUAUUUUAUUCAUAACCUUCAGUAUCUGUAGUCACAUUUUCCUACCUGAUAUCAGCUCCAGAAAUGUUAGGAAUGGUGCCUAAAUGUUAUGUUUCACUGUGAUUCUUCUGAAAAGCAUCAAUACAUCGAGACAGUGUUCAUUUUGACGUUGGUGGCAAUGAGAACCAGAACUGCUCAACUCAAGGCUAGAGAUUCUCCUAGACUUUAAGAAUAGUUCAGCUUUAAGAGUAGAAAUAAUCUGAUUUGAUGUAGAUGUCAACACUGGGUUCUCUUGACAGACAGUGGAAAUCUACUCAGUAGUUCAGAUUGUGAUUCAUAUCAUUCUAAAGUAAACACUUAAAAUAGGCCAGAGAAACCAUACCCUAAUCAAGUCUGCAGAGACUUCAGAUGGAGCCUAAGAUGAUGAACUCAACUGAAGAAAGCUGAUGUUACAAGGAAUCCAUGCAUGUACUAUACAAUACAACAUUUAUACAACAUUUAUUGACUGUUGUAGUCCAUUGUAUCUAGUGUCCUAUAUUCCAAAGAAGAAAAAAAAAACACAAAAAAACCUGCAAGGAUAAAGAUUUUUAAGUCUUCUGCAAUCUUACCUGUAAAAUACAUCCCCAAACCUUAAUAAACCUUUUUUAGAGUUACAACAAAAAUAGUGUAAAGAGACUCUGAAGAAUUAAGACCUUUAAAAAAAAAUAAUAAUUAAAAAAAGUUGAAAUUAGACAUGGGAUUUCAAAAGCAAGGAGAUUUGAAUGUCUAGUGUAAACUGAGCAACCAUAUCCCUUGGGCUUCUUUGAAAGCCUAAAUAUUAGUAAAAGGAAAAUUAAAUCAGGAAAACAUUGGCACUUCUUACCAUUUUGUUACUGGAAAGGGACUGCAGCAAAAAUAGCUAGUUCUCUUAGAGCAAAUGUGUUAAUGUAAAGACACUGUUUCCUUCAUUCUACAAUAUCUUAUUUUUGGAGAAAAACAAGCAUUCCAGUUGCCACGUUUUAUUCAGUUCUGUUUUUUUCAGUUCAGGUGAAUCUAUAUUGAUGGAACCUCUGUCGGCUAAUUUUGUAAAAUACAACUCACAAUAAUCUUGUGAGCGCAGCUCUUUUUCUAAAGCACCAUUUAAAGCAUUUUAAAAGUUUGCCCAUGUUCCACUCCAACUACACAGCAUUAAGCUCUGUCCAUAAAGGAUUUUCUGAAGAGAUUUUGAUAGGAAGACUUGCAAUGAAUACCUUGACUAAUAAAAAUUUAAAAAUACACACUGUAUGUAUUUAUAUUAGUCUGUCUCUUUCAACAGGAAGUGUUAUAGAAAUGCGAUUACCAGACACUGAGGUUUUUUAACGUAUAAAAUAGGAAAGAGAGAGGACAAGCUGUGGUGAAGAAAAUGCAAGCAUUGUACAACUCAACAGACCUCCUGUCCCAGAGAGAUUUAUUUACUGGAAAUUACGGUGAGAGGAAAGAGACUAAAUAACUUUAAGUCCCAAGUUAUUAUGUCAUAUGUAGCCCCAUAGCACAAUAUAACUACAAUCUGCAGCUUUGUAAACUGAGCUGUCAAAUACUUGUUAUUUUAAAGCUGCAGCUUUUCAGGGUCCUCUGACAGCCAGUGGUCCCAGCUCUCAGCCUGAUUCAUUGCUGGCUCUGAGACAGAGGAAGUUCGCGUCUGCUGUAAUCUAAACACUUUGCAAAUGGAGCACUGGAACAGUGGUGAAAGGAGAAAACAGCCUAAACCCUAUAAACCAGACAAGAAUCCUACAAAGCUUCUGGGGAGAAAAGAAAUAAGUACAACAGUACAGAUUGCAAGAUCAGCAAAAGUAUUCAUGCAAUUUUAUUUUGAACAAAAACAUUGAUUUUAAGCCACUUGGAUGAAAAGCAGUGAAAAUUAUUCUCUGUCAAAAAUAUGGAAACAAUGUCCCAGAUGUGUACUUCUGCAACAUCUGUAUUUUCCAUUUCAAGCAUAAAUAUUAAAAGGUGGGUUGUAGGAGGGUAUCUCCUUUUCCUCCGUUCUCUCCUAUCCCUGAGAGUUGUUUGCUUAGUCCUUAAACUGAGAUCAGUGGUUGAUUAUAAAACAUAAAACAAUGCAGAUAAUUUCCAUUACUUUUUCAGAAGCAUCAUGCAAAUGUUAAAGGGAUGAUGUAUUCCUGGGCUGUAGUACCGUGUCCCUGUACUGCUGAGACAAUGAAAUCAGACGUGUCUAUAGUUUACUCUUUCUUAAAGGAAACAAAUGCCCAAAUUCACUGAGAAAUCUUUUUAAAAAUAAUAAUAAUCUUUUCUGAUUUUAGCCUUAUUACAGUACUCACACAAUAGUAGUCUUCCUGAUCUCCAGUACACAUCUGCUGUUCUUACCUUUGCUGUUGAACCAACUUGCACAGAGCAAUGCUCAUCUGCCAUUCAUCCCUCUCUUUAUAUCGUGGUCUAACUGAGUAUAGAAAAUGUUUAUCUUAAGUACUUAUAUGAACCUCAACUUAGACUUACAUGUAGCCUUAGGAUAGCAUUCUAGCUUCAAUUUUCUCUAAACUGUCUGGAAAAUAUAUGUUUCUGUAUAAAAGAAAACUUGGUAAUUCUAUUCUACCAGACCUCAUGGCAAUAAAAAACAAAUGUAUUUUUGUAGUUUGUGUUUGGUGAGUUACAGCUCAAUUCUUUAGCAUUCGUUACAUUGACAAUAAUGCAUUACAGAAGGAAUUGUUGCAAAAGAGAAGGAUUUUUGAGAAGACAUAGUAGUAUAAUUUGUACAAAUUCUGUUCAGAAAGACACAAUGCUGAAAGUUUUGGAACUUACUUGAAAUGCUUAUAGCAGCCAUAACAUUUGCCUUUCAGACAAUGAUUUAUGGGCAGCUGGAAUUUGCAUGCAUUGCUCCGAAUCUGUGGAAGAAUCUAUGUGGUUGUUCAUGGCCUUCAGAAACAUGGAUGCUGCAAAGCAGAGCUAUGGAGAAUAUGGAAAGCAGGCUCAAAAAGCAUCUGCAAAUCUGUGCCAAUAUUAUUGCCUCUGUCAUCAAGCAAUGGAAAGGUUUUUCUAGUUAAAUUCAAGUAAUUAAAUCUCCCUGCUCUCAUUAAAAAAAAUACAACUGUCUGCUGCUGGUCUGAAGAAUUGCACAGAGUGAACGUAAAUUUUAAUUUCAUGGUGCAAGUGUUAAAUUAUUGCCAUCUAAGCUGUCUGCCAGUGUUACAUGAAAUCCCACCACAUUUUAAUAAUUCUCCCUUUGUUUUGGAUGGAAAUACCACGUGUUGUGAUUUGGAAGUUUUUAUGUGCAAUUAGAGCCCUGAGAACUACAACAUAAUCACAUUCAAUUCACCUAAUUGGACAGCGAGGAAACUGUCAUUUCUGAAAUGGUUUGUGUCUUUUGGAAUGUCUGUGUGUAUACACAUGCGUAUAAAAUGAAACAUUUUCUCACCCAUCCUGUGUUAAAAUGUAAUAGAAACUCCUGCUAACUGAAGUUGAAGAUAUAGCUGGGUGUUCUUUAGUAACCUCAAAACAUAUACGUGUGCGUGUAAAUAAAAAACUGUCCUUCUAAACACAAGGAUCCUUCCCUCCUACUUACUUUGCAACAUCUUAGUAAGGAUUUGCCAUCAAUUCCCUCUCUUUACAGUGCAUUUGAUGACAUUUUACAGAUCAUCAUACUAAAUAAGUAAGAACCAUCCUCUGAUUUAGAAGAAAAACCUUUAUUUAUUUCAAUUUAUUUUGGGAGUUCAGAAGUAAUGACAAACUUGACAAUCUUCAUGACAAACAUGACAAUCUUCACAUCACUUUAAGCUGUGUGACCAAAAAGCCAUUAGCUUCACAGAAACAGACAAUACAUUUCAUCCUGAAACAACACUUAUGAUCAACAUUUAUGCAAUCUAUAGGUACUUCCUAUAUUUGUAUCAAUGCAAGUAAGAAGACAUGGAGUAUCAAACCAGCAAGGGCUUAGAAAUAUCAAGCCCAAGAGUUUACCCAUUUACUUCAGUGGAAAAUAGUGCUAGUAAAUAUCAAUACAUAUUUUAAUCUUUUAUUUCAGUAAUUUCCAUGUAAAAGCAAACAUAUUCUGCCAACUUUAUUCAUUGUCUUUGAUCUUUUUUUGAAGCAUAUUAUGAUAGAUUUCUGAAUCUUUUAAUUCAAUGUUGAAGUAGAUAUUAAGUAUAUCACAACACCAAUCCACACUAAAUAGAACUUUUGUUUUUUGUUCUUUUGCUGAAAUGUCUGACAGUAUUUCAAGAAUAAUUUAAUUAUGAACUUUAUAUUAACAAAAGACAAGUGAUUUUUUAUUCCAUUCAGUGUGGAAUAAGAUACUACCUAUAUUUGUUAAGCCCUGUGUAUCAACCAGAAUUUGCAAAGGGAAGUUAUCAACUUCAGAUACUCAUUCUCCAUUUCCCAUAAAUAUGUUAAAAAUACAAAGUCAGCUCCUAAGUUUUUCAUCAAAUAAACUAGCUUAUUAAGAUUAAGUGGCCUGAAACCACCAUCUGUGAGUUCACAUUUAUAUCUAGAAAACCUGUAUAAUCAUGUGUAUUGAGAGUAAGGCUUAGUGUUGGAAGGCCCAACCUUGUAAACAAGCUUUGUUUACACAAGAAGACAAUAGGACUCUUCUUUUGUUUCAGAGUUUACAUGUUCAGAGGCUGAGAUCACUAUUUUUGAAAUGUGAUGAUGGGAAUACAAAGUAAUUACCUUUAUGAAGGUUUUACAAAGAAUCCUGUAAGUAAAGCCCAUGACAGAAAUAUAUAGUGUCUCCAAAGAAACAAUUAUGAUGUAUUGUGUUUGAAUAAUAACUCAGAAUGUUUUAUCAUCAUCUGUUUACAUAAUAAGUCAUAAUAACUUUUCAAAAUAUGGUGCUUGCAUUUUUAUUAUUGUUUUAAGUGUACAUAGGGGAAUUACUACAGCCUAGAAUCAUAAACUUUGUAAAACUUUGUUGAAGACUGCAUUUUUAUUCCCAUCCUCUUCUGCUCAAACAAAAAUGUAAAGGAAACAACACACAAAUAAAAGUACGCUAAAAUAAUCCCAUGUGUCUGGCUAAAAGAAAAGACAGGAAAUUCUUAAAAGUGUGGUUAUAAACUGAAAAAUGCCUUUAAACAUGGCUUCCUACUGUCUCACAUUUAUAUAUUCAUAAUUAUUUCACUAUCAAUAUUUUCUUUGCUUAUAUGUACACAAAUUACAUUAUUCAACAUGCCAAGACCACAUUCUCAGUCUGAUAUCUGGAAUACAAAGCCCUGUUGUCACUGGCUUCUACUACAGUGUUAAAGAUGGAACUGAGAGAAAUUCCUAGAUUCCCUCUCCUGGAAACUUUAUGAUUUAAGCCUACUUCUGACCUUUAGCAAUAUUUCCUUGGGGAGACUGAGGUCCAAAUUAAACUUUCAGGAAUUACAAGAGAAAUUUCAAUGAACUCUAGAGAUGCCAGAAAGACAAAUGACAAAAGUAGUUAAAGCAAAAGUGCUGAGCACGUCUUAAGUGCUUCAAUUAGAACUCUUGUUCCCCACAGGAUGUUCCAGAAAGGUGUAGAGGUGCUCACAGACCCUCACAAUGGUUUCAGACAUCUAGCCCACAAAGUAGAAUCCAAAGCCAAGAUUAGAGAGCUGUUACCUACAGAGAACAGAUGAUGUUAUGUGAGAGGACUAACAAAGUAGAAACAUUAUGGAGUUAUCUAGAAUCUAACUCAUAAUUUUGAAAGUCAGAUAAUGCCAACCUAUGUAGUUGAGGCACUCUGUCACAGUGGAAGACUGUGGUUAUUUCCAUCCACUCAGUGUCCACAGACCAUCAAGGUAAUUCAAUUUUUGUUUCAAAGGCUCCGUUUUUUUAAAAAAACAUAACCACUGUUGAAGAUGAGAUGUUAAUAAUGGAACAUAGGAUUAUUCUUAGUUCUACUAUUUACUGAAAAAUAGACAUACAAACUGUGUGGGGCAAAGACAAAGGCCAGAAUCCUGCUUGCUCCAUAAAAAUUGUUUCCUUCCUCAUUUAUCUCCUUGAAUCUUAAUGAGUUUUGCAGUUGUAGUGCACAUCUGUACAGCUAUGUAGACUAGCCUGGGACCCAGUGGGUAAGGUGUGCCUCCUCAGAAAUUAGAGUUUAAAAUACCUGAGGUCAAAGCAGAUGUAAAAAGUUGUCUCCUUCUGAAAGGUUUCCAGUUUUAUUGGCAUAUACUACGUUUGUCUGAGUGCACUUUCCAGGUCUGUGCUAUAAGCUAACACUACCAUUUAUCUUCUGGAUUCCCAGACUGUUUAAGUCAGACAGAGGUACAUGCCCGCUUCACCCUGAGCCCUUCUGCGAAUGGUCAGAAACAGAAUACUGUGUGAUCUCAAAAAGAUUCAGAGCAAACAUGGAAGACAGUUAUGUUUAAAUGACACUCUGGUUGGGCAGGCACUGAACGCAGUAACAGUUUCAACAUAGACACCUUAAACCUUCCAGUAUUCUAUUUUAGGUUUGUUCUUCAUUCUUGCAUCACAGCAGGAGUUGUACCCUUUAUCAGUGUUGAUGUCUUCUUAAAAGAGGGUCUGUGACCGCAUUUGAAGUAUCUCUACUACCAGUUGUGGUGAUUUCACCCUGAUGUGCAGCUAAACUACUACAUCAUUCUCCUGUUACUCCUACUCAAAGGAAGAGGGGGAGAAAAUGAAAUGAAAAAAGGCUCAGGGUUUGAGAUUACCGUCACUGAUCAGUGAUUAUGAGAAUAAAUAAACAUAGUGUGGAAAAAUCUUUGUAUAGUCAUUAAAAUACCCAAGUGUGGCAUUCUAGUAGAGAUUUAAUAAGGAGAAGAAACUGACCCUCAGACUUAGGAAUUCAUUUUCUUUACUUUUCUACAAGGACAGACAUACAUCUCUCUAUCUAAUUUAUAUAUACAUACGUAUAUAUAAAGCAAAGCUUUUAAAGAAUUUUUAUUUAUCAUUGUAAAAUCUCUACUUAGAAUUGGAAAGAGAUAGAAAAAAAAAAAGUAGACUUUGAUUAUCACCUUGAUACAUCUAAGUGUUUACAGUGGGAGCUAAGCUGUAGCAUAGCAAUGUAAUAAAAAUAGAAAGUAAAGUGACGUAAAAAGUGCACUGAGGACUACCUUAUAACUAAUUCCAAACGUUCAAGAAUAGUAAAUGGUUAACAGUGAUGCAAAAGGAAAUUACAGAAAAAACAAUCAAAAAGGACUCCUAAACAAUGAAAGGAAACAAAAAAUUAAUAAAGCAGAAGACUGAAAAACAGAUAAGGAGAGCAAAACGGUGAAAGAUUUCACAGAAGAUUAUGAAAUUAGCACAAAAAAUUUUUAAACAAUCCUAAGAAUAAACUGUCAUUGAAGAACAGAAUAGGGAUUGUGGAGGAUCAUUUUUUAAGGGAUGAGGUAAAAAAAGAUGGAAAAUUUAAACAAAUUCUUCGCAUAGCUGUUCAGAAAGAAAUGUCAGCUCGCAGAGCUGUAGAAAUAUAGGUACAUAUUUUCUGGAGCAAAAGGAAGGAUAAAACACCUAAGUAAACACACACUGUAUGUGACAUAGUACAGAUGACAAUCUUAGCAUGUAUCACAUAAAAUAAUUUCUCAGUGCUAAAGCAUAUGCACUUCAGAAUUCACAGAAAGGGACAAAAAACAGCAUCACUCUUCACAAGACUAAUUUACAUCACUUCACCAUUCAGAUAACUUUUCCUUUUCAAAAUGUUGCUUUGAAGUCACAUGGGCUACUUACAUGACUGACAACUCUAGGACUGCAGUGAAAAAGAAGUUUCAGUGGAAUUAAAGAAAAAGUAACGGGAAGUGUGCAGGAGGUAUCUGUGCAAAGAAGGGCCCCAUGCAACUCCUCUCACAGCUUGCCUCUAAAAACUCAAGAACUGGGUUUAAAUGAGAGAAACACCUUGUCUUUCUGGCAAGUUUUAGCAAUGCCUUCUAUGCAGGAAAGCAAUUUGCUUCAAGACCAAACAGAAAUGCACACUGGUUAAGAGUGAUAUAUUACAAAAACAACAGAGUAUAGCUAAAUUCAGCAAAUUAUGAAGCAAUGGCUAUUUCAGUGAGAGUCAGAGAUUCGUCUAAUGAGAUCCAGGAGUUUCAGCUCUGAACAAAAAGUGAUGAAUUCAAGCUUAAAUUCCUACAAGUAACCCCUAUUCUACAUUAAAGGUAACCAUCCAUCACAUUUUUAACUACAUCUACAAGGGAGUUCAGUAACUUCAGUCUAAAAAAUUCAAAACACAGACAUAUUUUCAGCCAAAACAAAGCCAGAGCCAGCAGUAAUUUUAAUUCUUUUCACUAAGUAUUGUUCUGGCCAUAAGACUAUGUGUAAAAUGGAUGUGGUUGAAGCCACAAUGGACUGUAAGGUUUAUAGGAUGAACAAGUUGCUAAGGAAGAGCUUGCAUGCCUAAAAACUUACAUUAUUCCAGCUGGAGUGCAUCCUGUAACAACAGUACUUCUUUAUUCUUCCAUAUCUUCCCUAAAAAGCUGAGCGCUCUGGCUGAAGACAGGCCAGGAGAGGCGCAUGGAUGUUUGCCUUCUUCAUGUUGCCUGAAAACCUAGUCCUUGUCUCAUCUGGGAACAGGACAGUCAUGCCAAGUGGAUGCAUCUCCCUGCAUCUGUGGAGAGACAGCAAAUGUGCUGUCUGGAAAGUAUCUGUGUUCUAGGAGGUGAGAAACUGGCUUGGGCUGUUUGAUUUCACUUCUACUCAGAGAAAUGGGGCAAUGAACUUUCUAAUAAACAGGUUUGGUUCACAGAGGGAUGACUCCACCAUCGAUCAUUCCACCAGAGGAAUAACUCAAGAUUCGAAAAUUUUAACCAGAUAAUUUUAUCAAAAGAAUAAUAAAAAAAAAAAAAAAAAAAAAAAAAAAAAAAGGACCAAGUAAUGACUUAAAACAAUUGCUGUGAUAUUACAUCUACAUAGGAUCUACUGGCCUAUAUGUCAGUUUUAAUCUGCCACUGGUUAAAUCCUACAUACUGAGCAAAAUAACUUACCAACACAAUACAUGCAAAGUAAAUAAAUACUCAAGCAACACUCUAUGUCCCACAUCCACUCAGAUACCAGAAGUGUGUAUUUCCAGUCUGUGAAAUACAAUGAUAAGUAAAAACAGUGAUUCUCCAUGAGUGCAUUACUCAGAAGAAGCAAUGUUAAGGCAGUCAGUGUGAUCUUUAAAAAUCACUCCCAGUAAAUAAAUAAAUAAGCACCUCUACCUGCACAGCUAUCUGAAGACAAGUUAACAAAUUCUGUUUUCCACUUAUUAGCAAAUCAGUUGUUCUGUAAAGAAUACAUGAUCAAAACCUACAGCAACAGCUGGCACAUGUAUAAAGCGGGGCAAAAAAAUUAAGAUGAAGUAUUUCUGACAAAAAAAUAUAUGAAACAAAACAAAGUUGAAAACUGAAGCAGAUAUCAGAUAACCAUUUUGUCAUUUAUAAAAUACUUUUUCAGGACAAAAGGGGUUGCCAUACCUUUUCACUCAGCAUAUCCUCAGAGUCACAUAUUAAGCUGAUCAAAUCCGAGGGUACUGCAGUAAGCUGAAGCUUGAAGCUGCCUCCACUUCCUUCAUUUCGUUUACAGUUUUGUUUGGGGGUUGUUCUUUUUUUUCUUUUUAGCUUGCAGAAACCUGAGGGAAAAAAUAUUUUGGGGGUUACUAUCGAAAUAGUUUAUUCAGUAGUCAAUUAACUGAAAAAAACAAAUAGUUCUAAACUGAUCUCUUAUAUACCAUGCCCCUUUUUAUAUCAUAGUUAUUGGUUCCAUUCUGUUGUUAUAUUUUACUGAAAACAUUAUGAAUAUAAAUGAGAAUAGUGCACAAAGAGCAGAGGUGAAGAUAUGUCCCAUUAGAAAUCUGCUUUUUUACUUACAUUUACUGAGGUUAUCAAGUACCUCUUUAUGAACUCUUCAUCCCUUUCUAAAAGGUAAAGUUGAAAUUGGGAAAUAUAUUGCAUCAGUUAUUGGGCAUUCUGGGGUUUUCCAUUAUUUUAAAAACCUCCUAUGUGCCUAAUUAUAGCUAAUAAGUACUGUUUAGAAACAUAGCAGAGAACUCAUGAUUUCCUUCUUCACCCAAUGCCCAGAAAAUCCAUGUCCGAGAACAAAAUCUUGAAGGUAUUUGUGAUCAUGACCCAUUCUCAUUAUCUGUAUCCAUUCUAAGAUUUUUAUAUUAUAUGAAUGAAUAUUUUAAAGUGAAAUUAUAGUAUUCAAUGGCAAAUUACAACUACAUGUGACCAAGAGAGGAUUAAACCCAUCAUUUUGCUUAAGAGCUCUGAUGGCUGGAGUAAUUGGAUGAUAGCUGUAGGGCAUCUUUUUGGUCUGUAAUUAGGUCAUUUCUUUCUCAUCCCUUCACUGUGUGUAUAAUUACGAAUUAAUUUGAAAUCCCACUGUGAGUAAAGAAAGUCAGUUUAAUAUAACGGAAGUGCAAAAGCCACAAUAUAUUACUUUUUAAAAACUGCUUAUUUCAAAAUACUCAGUCUGGCCAAAAGUUAUAUCCCUAUGUACUGCAAGGCUUAUAUUUGGUUUCUUUGCUAACUUUGUACAAGUGCUGCUCUGAAAGUAAUGCCUCCUGUUUUAUUAUGUUGGUGUGCAAUGUCAGAGGUGGAUUUUGGUGGUACAUCAGGAGAGGUUGAACCUUCACACCAGUAUUCCACUACAUUUUGUUGCUGUGUGACAGAUGGCAGCAGAGGGUCAGUCUGACAAAAUGGCUUCUGACACGGAAGCAUCUGAGAAGAAAAGAUGUGGAACUGAAUUCCUCCAUGUGGUAAAAAAAUUGCAUCCAUUGACUUUCACUGAUGCUUGCUGAACAUUUAUGGAGAUCAAACAGUGGAUGUGAGCUCAGUGAGGUUGUGGGUAAUGUGUUUCAACAGCAGUGAUAGUGGCAGUGGUUCACCUCCACCGGUGCAAAUUUUUACAAGAACAGCAAGCAGGUUCUCGUUCAUCGUUGGCAAAAAUGCAUAGCUAAUGACAGUGAAUAUGCAGCAAAAUAAAGUUUGUAUUUGAGAAUUUUCUCUAUGAAAUAGUGUUAUUGUGCUCUUUGUAUUUGUUGCAGUUUCUAUGGAAAUAAACAGCAAGUAUUACUUUUGAAUCAAUCUACGUUCCUGGAUGUAUUUUCUCUCUUAAAAUAAAUGAAUUUUCAAAGCACCACACUUUGCUCCAGUAUCUGUCAGUAGGUGUCAACAGCACAAAAAGGUAGUGGAAAGAAAUAAAAAGUAACCAUGAGAGUCUUGACAGACAGUAUUAGCAUCAGAGAACUUAGAGGCCACUCUCAACACAGUCAACCAUUUUAUCCUUUAGUCCUGCCAUUAUUUCCUUCCACUGAAACUACCUUUCUGCUUUUACCCUGAAAGUGUUAAACACUGCACAACCCUAACUAGCAUACCUGCUACUAUGUGCAUCAGGAGCUCACCAUUUCAUCAUCUGGCUGAGAUAUGCUGCUGGCAAGUUCUGCUUCCCUUCCUUUAUCACAACAUUGUGGUCGGAUGCAUCAGACCUCCCUCCCGCCUUAGCAAUGAUACAGGUAAAAACAUGCAUUUCUGACAAAUGGAUAACCCCAAGCAGAUCUGUGGAGACAAUGUUUUGACUUGCUGAACUUCCUGUUUCAUUCUGUUUUCAUCUGUCCCCAGAAACCUUGAAAGGGGUCGGUGAGAGGGUCCCAGGUGUGAUCUGAGCACCAGUGAUGUCAACAGCGAGCCAGGGGCUGUGCAGGGUGUGAAGUUAAAGGGAAGAGCAGAGAAAAGACUGUUGGUGCAGAGAACAAGGGUACUGAGAUUUGACUGUAUUUGUAGCUGUGCUGUAAAAAACUGUAAAACAUCCCAUGCCGUUAGCAUAAGAUUAGAUUUCUGCCAGGAAAAAAAAAAAAAAAAAGAGAGAGAGAGAGAGAACAAAAAGAAAUGGAACUGCUUAGAUAUAAGUUCCAAAGUUCAUUAAGAGGGUUCUUUUCUGCAUAGCUCCAAAGCUAAGAUGUGCUAAGGCAUGUAGAAAAAUAAGGAGGUGUUAAAAACCUACCCAACUUCUUAGCUUUCAAAAAAAGUUCAAAGUCCUAGUCAUCGAUUAUUUACAUGGUGACCUCCAGGCCUAUUUGUGAUGCCAAAAAAAUUGUACUCAGGAAGGAAGGAAGACAUUAUCAAAAAGGAAAGAAUUUCUGUUUAAUCUAAUAAUGCCUUUAUAAAAAUAACCAUUUUCUUUUACAUAUAAUAAAAAAUUCAUUAGAAAAUCUCAACAUAUUUUUAUAUAAAAAUAAUAACUGGCAACAUAGCUAGAAAUAAGAAGCAGAGAAAGAAACUUGGAUGCAUUUCUUGCUUGCAAGAGCAUGAUGAGGAAAUAAGGUAAUCUAGUCUUCCCAUUCUGAACAAAAUAGACAUGAUAACAGAAUAUAUAAAUCAAGACAUUUUUGGAGAAAUAAUGUCACUCCAUAAUUUUUGAAAGUAGAAAUAAUUUAAAAUUCAUGCAUGAAACUAAAUAGGUAAAAUAUGUCAUUUUGAAAUAACAUAACAGUAAAAAUAAUUUGUAAAACUUUUUUUGUUUUUUAACUGAGUCUCAUUUUAUACUUGGAAAAUUUUCUUUAGAAAAUUUUCAACCUCUUCUAUGUAGCUCCUGGGUAAAUAUGGAGGUUUUAUGGAAACCAAACAAAUGAAUUAAAUGACUACAAGAAUUAUUGGCUCUAAAUAUAUACAUUUUCUUCUGAUGCUACUAGAAUGUUACUAGUAUAUACUGUAUGAAUUAUAAAAAAUGUUAUGACAGAUAUGGAAGUAAUAUACUUCGGUGAUAAAUCUUCAAUAGAAAGAAUUUAUUAGAGUCAUAUAGAUCUACU
RNAcentral lists this long non-coding RNA (21183 nucleotides) under Gallus gallus (chicken). The record is from RNAcentral. Lineage: Eukaryota; Metazoa; Chordata; Aves; Galliformes; Phasianidae.